This is a long non-coding RNA of Phocoena sinus (vaquita), 1587 nucleotides long. Lineage: Eukaryota; Metazoa; Chordata; Mammalia; Artiodactyla; Phocoenidae. The record is from Ensembl.
CAUCUUCCUAAGUGCUUCCAUCGGACUUGAUGUUCUACAUCAGACAGCCUUCGGACCUGAACUAGAACAUCUGCUCUCCUGGGUCUCCAGCCUGCCAGCCCAGCCUGCAGAUUUUGGACUUGCCAGCCUCCAAAAAUAUGUGAGCCAAUUCCUUAUAAUAAGUUUUUCUUUAUAUACACACACACGUCCUGUUGGUUCUAUUUCUCUGGAGAAUCCUAAUACAAAAGCAGCUGUUGGUGGUCCCAGGGAGAGGAGAAUGAACCUUGCUGAGACCCUAGCAGAUAGAUUUGUGGGAUCGUGCAACCACGGGAUGGUUGCCAGGAGCUCGAGAGAGGAGGAGAGAGGGACUUUUGGAGACCACUGACUGAGGAGUAGAGGGACAAUAGACAUUUAAUGAUGCUUCCCUGACUUAAUGAUAUUGAUGAUGUAAUAGAUCUCCCCGCUCUUUGAAGCCUUGGUUCUCUGUAAGUCCUUUGGAACUCAAAUACCACCCCAGAGAAAGUGGGAUGAAAUUAAUUAACUGAAAUUAAGUUUAUACUACCCCAGCAGAGCUCCAAAGAGAAAUUCAGGCCAGUUUUGAGAAUGUUAGAAAAAGUGUCCUUCCUUGUACAUUCGCGCUUGUGAAUUGGGAUUCACAGGCACUUCACAAACAUUUGCUUUUAUUUGUCUACUUUCAAGAUACAUGUUGGCAUUUUGUGGUAUGACAUGAAAUGACUUUUCAGAGAUAGAACCUUCAUUUGUAACUUUGCCACUCAGUGUCAGGGCAGCUGUGUAUCAAGGUUAUUACGGUGGCUGGCUAUGGGCAGAAUGUUUGUGGAACUUACAAAAUAUAAUCUAAGAUUGAUGUAGAAGAAUAAAAGUCCCCAAAUAGCUGUCAAGUUUGAAAAAUAAGAGCAAAAAGAGAGAACACAAUUUAUCAGACAGAAAGAUAUGAUAACAUAUGGCAAAGCCAUGGGUAGUUCCUGUGCAGGAAUGGGCAAAUAGAUAUAUAUGGAAAGGAGAGGGACCCUGGAAGCAGACCCCUGGACAUGGGAGCCUGGUGUGCGACAGAGUGCCACAAAUACCUGGGGGAAGAAAAGACUGUUCUUUAGAUGGCAUCGGAAAAACUUACUCUAUGAAAAAAAAAAGUCGAAUGCCUAUUUCUUGUCCUAUACAAAGGUAAACCCCACUUAGAUUUAAGAGCUACAUUUGAAAGGUGAAGCUAUAGAGUUAACAGAAGAAAUUGUUGAAAUACAUCUUUGCAACUUGAUAGCCAAAAACUUCUUAAAUGGGACCCUCAAAACCUCUCUUCUUAGGGAGAACAAUUAAUGCAUUUGAUGAUAUCAAUAUUAAAGAUUUUGUUAAAUGAUCUUCAUAGAUGAUGUUAAUAAAGAGAUGACAGAUUGGGAGGUGUUUUUUAUGAUGUCAAAAAUUAUUGGGACAAAUGGGGAAUGUUGAAUAUGAACCCUAAAUCAGACAUUAGUGGUGUAUAAAUGUUAAAUUUGUUGAGUGGGGGAAUUUUAUUAUGGUUUAUGUAGGAGAAUGUCCUUGUUCGUAGGAGAUUUACACUGAAAUAUUUAGUGAAGUGUCUGAAACAUUGGUAAUCAC